UACGUAGGCAGCAAGCGUUGUCCGGAAUUAUUGGGCGUAAAGAGCUCGUAGGCGGUGUGUCGCGUCGACCGUGAAAACCUGCAGCUUAACUGUGGGCGUGCGGUCGAUACGGGCAUCACUGGAGUUCGGCAGGGGAGACUGGAAUUCCUGGUGUAGCGGUGAAAUGCGCAGAUAUCAGGAGGAACACCGGUGGCGAAGGCGGGUCUCUGGGCCGAUACUGACGCUGAGGAGCGAAAGCGUGGGGAGCGAACAGG
RNAcentral lists this ribosomal RNA (254 nucleotides) under uncultured bacterium. RNAcentral's name for it is "partial 16S ribosomal RNA". It matches the Rfam family "Bacterial small subunit ribosomal RNA", at positions 524 to 776 of the family's 1533-position model. The record is from RNAcentral.